UACAGAGGUGGCAAGCGUUGUUCGGAAUUACUGGGCGUAAAGGGCGCGUAGGCGGGUGCUCAAGUCUGUGGUGAAAUCCUCCAGCUCAACUGGAGAACUGCCAUGGAUACUGGGUGCCUCGAGGGUGGUAGGGGUAUGCGGAACUAUCGGUGGAGCGGUGAAAUGCGUUGAUAUCGAUAGGAACUCCGGUGGCGAAGGCGGCAUACUGGACCACAUCUGACGCUGAGGCGCGAAAGCCAGGGGAGCAAACGGG
Molecule: ribosomal RNA, 253 nt
Filed under: uncultured bacterium
Lineage: Bacteria
Description: partial 16S ribosomal RNA
Rfam family: Bacterial small subunit ribosomal RNA
Source: RNAcentral